RNAcentral lists this ribosomal RNA (253 nucleotides) under uncultured bacterium. RNAcentral's name for it is "partial 16S ribosomal RNA". It matches the Rfam family "Bacterial small subunit ribosomal RNA", at positions 524 to 776 of the family's 1533-position model. The record is from RNAcentral.
GACGUAGGGCGCGAGCGUUGUCCGGAUUUAUUGGGCGUAAAGAGCUCGUAGGCGGCUUGUCGCGUCGACUGUGAAAACCCGCGGCUCAACUGUGGGCUUGCAGUCGAUACGGGCAGGCUGGAGUUCGGUAGGGGAGACUGGAAUUCCUGGUGUAGCGGUGAAAUGCGCAGAUAUCGUAAGGAAGACCAGUGGCGAAGGCGGGUCUCUGGACAGUUCCUGACGCUGAGGCACGAAGGUCAGGGGAGCAAACGGG